This is a non-coding RNA of Dipodomys ordii (Ord's kangaroo rat), 65 nucleotides long. The record is from Rfam. Lineage: Eukaryota; Metazoa; Chordata; Mammalia; Rodentia; Heteromyidae.
GGUGGCUCAGUGGUAGAGUGCUUGCCUUGCAUGCAUGAGGUCCUGGGUUCGAUUCCUCAGUACCA